UCCGAGGUAGCUCAGUUGGUAGAGCAAGUGACUGUUAAUCACUGGGUCGUGGGUUCGAGCCCCUCCCUCGGAG
Molecule: transfer RNA, 73 nt
Filed under: Patescibacteria group bacterium
Lineage: Bacteria
Description: tRNA-Asn
Rfam family: tRNA
About the family: Transfer RNA (tRNA) molecules are approximately 80 nucleotides in length. Their secondary structure includes four short double-helical elements and three loops (D, anti-codon, and T loops).
Source: RNAcentral